GGCUGGUGUUGGAGGAACAGAGCGUUGCGUAUCCCGCGGAUUCUCCGGAUCUGCUCCUCUGGUUUCGGUGCAGAAGUAUCCGGUAAAUCCCUGUCAGCGGGCUACGGCAGUCCAUCACCACGUUGUUCCUCAGGUCGUGAAUGCCGAGUUUGACCUGGGAGAAGUUUCCGUUGCCUAUUUCUCCACGCAGCUCGUAGAAGCCGAUCCGUCUGCCGAAGGCCAGCUGAGGCAUGAGCUCUCUGCGGUGAGACGGCAUCGUCUGCCUGGCCACCUGCCCUGUAGGGAGAAAGAGAUCUCUUUAAUAUCCCAGGUAUUUCUCAUAGAAAGCAAUGGAAUUAAAUGGAGAAUUUUGCUGUAGUCGCCUUCUUCUUCAGAUGCUUCUCUGAGAAGAAGAGUGCAGUAAUCUCACUUUAGAUUUUCAAAAGAGAACAUCUUAAAAUGUGCUCAGAAUUGCCAUAAUAUUAAAAAUGUUCCAGUUCUCAUUUGUUUCAUUUAAGUAUCAACUUUGUCUCUUGAGAAAAACGGACCCAAGCAAGUUGUCAUACAGUUCUUGGGAGAACUAAAUAAGAAACGUUUGAGUUCAUAUUGAGAUCUGAGCACAGUUUGAGAUAUUUCUGAGAUCUUUUCUGAGAUUACUGGGGUGUUUUUCUCAAGAGAAUUCAGCAAAUGUCUCCAUUUAACGUCAUGAUUGUUGUCUAGGUGAAACAAUCCACAUAUCUAAUGCAAGAUUUUCCUGCCUAUGUGGAGAUCUCAAUAUGAACUCAAACAUUUCUCAUCACUGUCUUUUGCAUGUCUUUUUAUUCUUAUUUCUAUUAAGUAACCUUAGGAGAACAUCUGAGAACACCAUAAAGUUUGAAAGAGCAAUCUCUGAGCACUAACAUGUUCCUCUUAGUCCUAAAAACCCAAAUAAGAUCAUUCUGGAUUCGAAAUUGUGUUUCCAAACUCUCACAUGAUCUGUGCUCUCCCAUUUUUCUCAGUAAGAAAGGAUAUUUAAGUAUCAACUUUGUCUCAGAUGUUACUCCUAAAAUAUGAACUCAGACAUUUCUCAUCAAACACUUCCAAGUCCAAAUAGUCUGAGUUAUGCUAUACAAAUUUAUAUAGAUCAAAACUUAUUCUACUAAGGAAUCUUGUGAGAACUCUGUUAAGUUGCUUGAGCUAUGAAAGAACAGCAUCUGAGAAAUAACAUCAAAUAAAAACUAGUGCUGUCAAAUCAUUUAAUCGCGAUUAAUCACAUCUAACAUAAAAAUAUAAUGUACA
Megalobrama amblycephala (Wuchang bream) is the source of this 1257-nucleotide long non-coding RNA. RefSeq lists it as uncharacterized. Lineage: Eukaryota; Metazoa; Chordata; Actinopteri; Cypriniformes; Xenocyprididae. The record is from RefSeq and is a predicted model, not a curated record. The transcript has 3 exons.